RNAcentral lists this long non-coding RNA (207 nucleotides) under Elaeis guineensis (African oil palm). Its description in RNAcentral is "long non-coding RNA (EGUI_LNC001477)". Lineage: Eukaryota; Viridiplantae; Streptophyta; Magnoliopsida; Arecales; Arecaceae. The record is from RNAcentral.
UGCCCUGUCAAACGUCUUGACGAUGGGAUAUCCAUCCUUCGGAGAUGUGCCCUUGGAAUUUCUAGACAAUUGGGGCCAUUGUAGCACUUCUGAUGCAUGCUUAUCUUGUGUUUUAGAUAAAAUGUCUUCUUUCAUCACAUGUAAAGGCAUCUGGGCCACCGCGAUGGCAGUCUAGUGGCAAUGAGCUAAGGUCCCCUCCCUCUCCUC